GGGGGUAGAAUUCCAGGUGUAGCGGUGAAAUGCGUAGAGAUCUGGAGGAAUACCGGUGGCGAAGGCGGCCCCUGGACAAAGACUGACGCUCAGGUGCGAAAGCGUGGGGAGCAAACAGGAUUAGAUACCUGGUAGUCCACGCCGUAAACGAUGUCGAUUUGGAGGUUGUGCCCUGAGGCGUGGCUUCCGGAGCUAACGCGUUAAAUCGACCGCCUGGGGAGUACGGCCGCAAGGUUAAAACUCAAAUGAAUUGACGGGGGCCCGCACAAGCGGUGGAGCAUGUGGUUUAAUUCGAUGCAACGCGAAGAACCUUACCUGGUCUUGACAUCCACAGAACUUAGCAGAGAUGGAUUGGUGCCUUCGGGAACUGUGAGACAGGUGCUGCAUGGCUGUCGUCAGCUCGUGUUGUGAAAUGUUGGGUUAAGUCCCGCAACGAGCGCAACCCUUAUCCUUUGUUGCCAGCGGUCCGGCCGGGAACUCAAAGGAGACUGCCAGUGAUAAACUGGAGGAAGGUGGGGAUGACGUCAAGUCAUCAUGGCCCUUACGACCAGGGCUACACACGUGCUACAAUGGCAUAUACAAAGAGAAGCGACCUCGCGAGAGCAAGCGGACCUCAUAAAGUAUGUCGUAGUCCGGAUUGGAGUCUGCAACUCGACUCCAUGAAGUCGGAAUCGCUAGUAAUCGUAGAUCAGAAUGCUACGGUGAAUACGUUCCCGGGCCUUGUACACACCGCCCGUCACACCAUGGGAGUGGGUGCAAAAGAAGUAGGUAGCUAACCUC
Molecule: ribosomal RNA, 780 nt
Filed under: Klebsiella pneumoniae
Lineage: Bacteria; Pseudomonadati; Pseudomonadota; Gammaproteobacteria; Enterobacterales; Enterobacteriaceae
Description: bacterial SSU rRNA
Rfam family: Bacterial small subunit ribosomal RNA
Source: RNAcentral